GCCACCAUAGCUGGGUGGUUAGAGCACUGGUCUUGUAAGCCAGGAGGAUGAUAACUUCGAUUCUUACUGGUGACU
Molecule: non-coding RNA, 75 nt
Organism: Trichonephila clavipes
Lineage: Eukaryota; Metazoa; Arthropoda; Arachnida; Araneae; Nephilidae
Source: the annotation of a GenBank genome assembly